RNAcentral lists this ribosomal RNA (793 nucleotides) under uncultured Mycobacterium sp. RNAcentral's name for it is "bacterial SSU rRNA". It matches the Rfam family "Bacterial small subunit ribosomal RNA", at positions 555 to 1346 of the family's 1533-position model. The record is from RNAcentral. Lineage: Bacteria; Bacillati; Actinomycetota; Actinomycetes; Mycobacteriales; Mycobacteriaceae.
UGGGCGUAAAGAGCUCGUAGGUGGUUUGUCGCGUUGUUCGUGAAAUCUCACGGCUUAACUGUGAGCGUGCGGGCGAUACGGGCAGACUUGAGUACUGCAGGGGAGACUGGAAUUCCUGGUGUAGCGGUGGAAUGCGCAGAUAUCAGGAGGAACACCGGUGGCGAAGGCGGGUCUCUGGGCAGUAACUGACGCUGAGGAGCGAAAGCGUGGGGAGCGAACAGGAUUAGAUACCCUGGUAGUCCACGCCGUAAACGGUGGGUACUAGGUGUGGGUUUCCUUCCUUGGGAUCCGUGCCGUAGCUAACGCAUUAAGUACCCCGCCUGGGGAGUACGGCCGCAAGGCUAAAACUCAAAGAAAUUGACGGGGGCCCGCACAAGCGGCGGAGCAUGUGGAUUAAUUCGAUGCAACGCGAAGAACCUUACCUGGGUUUGACAUGCACAGGACGCCGGCAGAGAUGUCGGUUCCCUUGUGGCCUGUGUGCAGGUGGUGCAUGGCUGUCGUCAGCUCGUGUCGUGAGAUGUUGGGUUAAGUCCCGCAACGAGCGCAACCCUUGUCUCAUGUUGCCAGCGGGUAAUGCCGGGGACUCGUGAGAGACUGCCGGGGUCAACUCGGAGGAAGGUGGGGAUGACGUCAAGUCAUCAUGCCCCUUAUGUCCAGGGCUUCACACAUGCUACAAUGGCCGGUACAAAGGGCUGCGAUGCCGCGAGGUUAAGCGAAUCCUUUUAAAGCCGGUCUCAGUUCGGAUCGGGGUCUGCAACUCGACCCCGUGAAGUCGGAGUCGCUAGUAAUCGCA